GACAGAGGGGGCAAGCGUUGCUCGGAAUUACUGGGCGUAAAGGGCGCGUAGGCGGAAUGGCAAGUCGGUCGUGAAAUCCUUCGGCUCAACCGAAGAACGUCGAUCGAAACUGCCGUUCUUGAGGAUUGCAGAGGAGACUGGAAUUCCCGGUGUAGCGGUGAAAUGUGUAGAGAUCGGGAGGAACACCGGUGGCGAAGGCGGGUCUCUGGGCAAUUCCUGACGGCUGAGGCGCGAAAGCGUGGGGAGCAAACGGG
This 254-nucleotide ribosomal RNA is filed under the name uncultured bacterium. RNAcentral's name for it is "partial 16S ribosomal RNA". It matches the Rfam family "Bacterial small subunit ribosomal RNA", at positions 524 to 776 of the family's 1533-position model. The record is from RNAcentral.